This 253-nucleotide ribosomal RNA is filed under the name uncultured prokaryote. Its description in RNAcentral is "partial 16S ribosomal RNA". It matches the Rfam family "Bacterial small subunit ribosomal RNA", at positions 524 to 776 of the family's 1533-position model. The record is from RNAcentral.
UACAGAGGGUGCAAGCGUUAAUCGGAAUGACUGGGCGUAAAGGGCGUGUAGGUGGCACUAUAAGUUAGAUGUGAAAUCCCUGGGCUUAACCUAGGAAGGUCAUCUAAUACUGUAGAGCUAGAGUACAGGAGAGGGAAGUGGAAUUUCCGGUGUAGCGGUGAAAUGCGUAGAUAUCGGAAGGAACACCAGUGGCGAAGGCGGCUUUCUGGCCUGAUACUGACACUGAGGCGCGAAAGCGUGGGUAGCGAACAGG